RNAcentral lists this ribosomal RNA (1180 nucleotides) under Natronococcus occultus. RNAcentral describes it as "bacterial SSU rRNA". It matches the Rfam family "Archaeal small subunit ribosomal RNA", at positions 37 to 1216 of the family's 1478-position model. Lineage: Archaea; Methanobacteriati; Methanobacteriota; Halobacteria; Halobacteriales; Natrialbaceae. The record is from RNAcentral.
GGAUCGAUUAGCCAUGCUAGUUGCACGAGUUGAGACUCGUAGCAGAUAGCUCAGUAACACGUGGCCAAACUACCCUCUGGAGGGGACCAACCUCGGGAAACUGAGGCUAAUUCCCCAUACCGCUCGACGCCUGGAACUGGCGCGAGCUCGAAAUGCCCCGGCGCCAGAGGAUGUGGCUGCGGCCGAUUAGGUAGACGGUGGGGUAACGGCCCACCGUGCCAGUAAUCGGUACGGGUUGUGAGAGCAAGAGCCCGGAGACGGUAUCUGAGACAAGAUACCGGGCCCUACGGGGCGCAGCAGGCGCGAAACCUUUACACUGCACGCCAGUGCGAUAAGGGGACUCCAAGUGCGAGGGCAUAGAGCCCUCGCUUUUCUGCACCGUAAGGUGGUGCAGGAACAAGUGCUGGGCAAGACCGGUGCCAGCCGCCGCGGUAAUACCGGCAGCACGAGUGAUGGCCGCUCUUAUUGGGCCUAAAGCGUCCGUAGCUGGCCAGGCAAGUCCAUCGGGAAAUCUCCCCGCCUAACGGGGAGGCGUCCGGUGGAAACUGCCUGGCUUGGGACCGGAAGACCAGAGGGGUACGUCUGGGGUAGGAGUGAAAUCCCGUAAUCCUGGACGGACCACCGGUGGCGAAAGCGCCUCUGGAAGACGGAUCCGACGGUGAGGGACGAAAGCUCGGGUCACGAACCGGAUUAGAUACCCGGGUAGUCCGAGCUGUAAACGAUGUCUGCUAGGUGUGCCACAGGCUACGAGCCUGUGGUGUGCCGCAGGGAAGCCGUGAAGCAGACCGCCUGGGAAGUACGUCCGCAAGGAUGAAACUUAAAGGAAUUGGCGGGGGAGCACUACAACCGGAGGAGCCUGCGGUUUAAUUGGACUCAACGCCGGACAUCUCACCAGCAUCGACAGUAGGAGUGACGGUCAGUGUGAUGAGCUUACCAGACCUACUGAGAGGAGGUGCAUGGCCGCCGUCAGCUCGUACCGUGAGGCGUCCUGUUAAGUCAGGCAACGAGCGAGACCCGCACUCCUAAUUGCCAGCAACACCCUUGUGGUGGUUGGGUACAUUAGGAGGACUGCCAGUGCCAAACUGGAGGAAGGAACGGGCAACGGUAGGUCAGUAUGCCCCGAAUGUGCUGGGCAACACGCGGGCUACAAUGGUCGAGACAGUGGGAUGCAACCCCGAGA